RNAcentral lists this small RNA (706 nucleotides) under Pongo abelii (Sumatran orangutan). RNAcentral describes it as "processed transcript". The record is from RNAcentral. Lineage: Eukaryota; Metazoa; Chordata; Mammalia; Primates; Hominidae.
CCUCUGCCUCCCAAAGUGCUGGGGUUUUAGGUGUGAGCACCCAGCCAAAAGAAACUUAAUUUUUAGGGACAUAACUGGUUAACCUGCUUAUUGGGUACAGUUGUCGGUAUCUUUGGGUUAGGUUGUCUAUUAUUUUAGGGUGGAUGGAGGGUAGAUGGAAGGAGAAAAUAUCCAUAGGAGGGUUGGGACUUCUCAGUUAGAUUGAAUACCUGUUGAAUGGGAAGAGAAAGUCCCUAAGCUGACAAUUUAUUGUAAAACAUAUCUGUGCUAAUGCAGGAACUCCGACCCACCUGGUGCAGAGGAGUCUUAUCUUGACCUGCUUUGGGAGAGUGUUGUCUUGAUGCUUUUCUCUUCCUCCUUGGAAAACAGCUGAAGAAAUCAGGGGAGAAACCCCUGCUUGGUGGAAGCCUGAUGGAAUAUGCAAUCUUGUCUGCCAUUGCUGCCAUGAAUGAGCCGAAGACCUGCUCUACCACUGCUCUGAAGAAGUAUGUCCUAGAGAAUCACCCAGGAACCAAUUCUAACUAUCAAAUGCAUUUGCUGAAAAAAACCCUGCAGAAAUGCGAAAAGAAUGGGUGGAUGGAACAGAUCUCUGGGAAAGGGUUCAGUGGCACCUUCCAGCUCUGUUUUCCCUAUUAUCCCAGCCCAGGAGUUCUGUUUCCGAAGAAAGAGCCAGAUGAUUCUAGAGAUGAGGAUGAAGAUGAAGAUG